UCGGAAGAUUUGAUUACAGGAAAAUAAUUGGGGAUUUGAAAAGAUAAUUUCACAUUUGGGUUUUAAGGAAAAAUAAUAGUUUGGAGACCUUCGAGAAUGAAUCUCGUCGAUCAGGACCCACCUUUGGAAUAAUUGUGAGUUCAGAUGUACACCGGUGUUGGUGAUUUCCAGCAGAGGUCGCCGAUGGUGGCCGUUAUCUGGACUUCAGCUUUUGGCUCUUCAAAGAAUUAAAUGAACGGAGGUGUUAACGGUGGAGUAUUGAUGAUAGAAGGUAUUGUUACAAACCUCGAGAAGUUAGCUUCCCAUUAAUGGUGGUGCUAGGCAGUUUUAUUCGGCGGUGGUCGCCGAAAUUUGGUGUGAAUUUCAGCCUGCUCGCCGGAAAGGGAAAUAAAAUCUGCUACGCAUCUGUUUUCGGAGCCAAAAUCGAAGGGUUUGGAGUGUGAAUUUGGGAAUCAUUCCUCCUCGAAAAUCGUAGAGGACCUCGAAAACUGUGUGUCAUUCGUGGUUGUGUACCUAAGAAAAUUUUGGUCUAUGAUGUUGCUUUUGGUGCUAACUCGAGCUAUGUUGGCGAAAUUCUGAGAAAUAGUAAACCUUCUGCCGCACCUGUUUUCGGAGCCAAAAUCGAAGGGUUUGGAGUGAGAUUUUCGAAUCAGUCUCUUCACAAAAGUCGUCGAGGACCAU
Non-coding RNA from Erythranthe guttata (spotted monkey flower), 681 nucleotides. NCBI's taxonomy places the organism in Eukaryota, Viridiplantae, Streptophyta, Magnoliopsida, Lamiales, Phrymaceae. The record is from RefSeq and is a predicted model, not a curated record.